AACGUAGGGUGCAAGCGUUGUCCGGAAUUACUGGGUGUAAAGGGAGCGCAGGCGGACCGGGAAGUUGGAAGUGAAAACUAUGGGCUCAACCCAUAAAUUGCUUUCAAAACUGCUGGCCUUGAGUAGUGCAGAGGUAGGUGGAAUUCCCGGUGUAGCGGUGGAAUGCGUAGAUAUCGGGAGGAACACCAGUGGCGAAGGCGACCUACUGGGCACCAACUGACGCUGAGGCUCGAAAGCAUGGGUAGCAAACAGG
This 253-nucleotide ribosomal RNA is filed under the name Gemmiger formicilis. Its description in RNAcentral is "partial 16S ribosomal RNA". It matches the Rfam family "Bacterial small subunit ribosomal RNA", at positions 524 to 776 of the family's 1533-position model. The record is from RNAcentral. Lineage: Bacteria; Bacillati; Bacillota; Clostridia; Eubacteriales; Oscillospiraceae.